AUGAGGAACCCUGGGGGGGUGCUGACAAGGCUUCCACUUAGGAAGUGCUGUCUCUGGGACAGUGGAGGCAGUCACUGCUUAGGGCAUCAGGAGACCACUUCCAGAAGGGCAGGCUGUGCACCUGAGACAACAGCUGAACCGACCAGAGGAGAAAGGUCGGGAUCCUGGGAGCCCGAGCUCAGGUUGGAGCUGAAGGUGGUGGUAGCCAGGACAGACCACAGAAAAGUUUCCUACAGGGAAGUGGCAGUGGCCUCAGGAAACCGGGCAGAGAAGAGCCAGGGGCCACCUGAGUUCCCAACCCUCUCCAGGCUCCUCUCUCAAGUGAUGUCGCAGCCUGCACCUGUUCCUCUCACCAGGGCAGGAGGAAGGCCCUGGCCACCCAGCGAGCAGACACUUGAAAUGAGUGUUCCUUUACAAAAGCCAGCCAGGAAGUUCACCAGUCAGAACAAAAAAAGUACAUUGAAGCAGACAUUGGUGAACUCUCUCCGGAAGAAAGGAAGGAACAGUACACCUCUCUGGGAGGCAUUACGUUUCUGGGAAACCCACAUCAAACAUGUCAUAAUCUGCUCCCCGGCCUUCACAAAAACACACAUUCAUUACAAAACAAAUACGUAUUUAUUGUAG
This 624-nucleotide long non-coding RNA is filed under the name Felis catus (domestic cat). Its description in RNAcentral is "lncRNA (ENSFCAG00000048669.1)". Lineage: Eukaryota; Metazoa; Chordata; Mammalia; Carnivora; Felidae. The record is from RNAcentral.